RNAcentral lists this ribosomal RNA (414 nucleotides) under uncultured microorganism. RNAcentral's name for it is "bacterial SSU rRNA". It matches the Rfam family "Archaeal small subunit ribosomal RNA", at positions 459 to 872 of the family's 1478-position model. The record is from RNAcentral.
CAGCCGCCGCGGUAAUACCGGCGGCCCGAGUGGCGGUCACUAUUAUUGGGCUUAAAGCGUCCGUAGCCGGGUUGGGAAGUCCUCCGGGAAAUCUGGCCGCUUAACGGUCAGAAUGCCGGAGGAUACUCCCAGCCUAGGGGGCGGGGGAGGCCGAGGGGAUUCCCGGAGUAGGGGGGAAAUCCUAUAAUCCCGGGAGGACCACCUGUGGCGGAGGCGCUCGGCUGGAACGCGUCCGACGGUGAGGGACGAAGGCCAGGGGAGCAAACCGGAUUAGAUACCCGGGUAGUCCUGGCUGUAAACGAUGCGGACUUUGUGUCGGACAAGCUAUGAGCUUGUCCGGUGCCGGAGGGAAACCGUUAAGUCCGCCGCCUGGGGAGUACGGCCGCAAGGCUGAAACUUAAAGGAAUUGGCGGG